Long non-coding RNA from Octopus sinensis (East Asian common octopus), 4182 nucleotides. RefSeq lists it as uncharacterized. The transcript is spliced from 5 exons. The record is from RefSeq and is a predicted model, not a curated record. Lineage: Eukaryota; Metazoa; Mollusca; Cephalopoda; Octopoda; Octopodidae.
UCUCAGUGGUUCCACAGAGAAGUAAGAUGUCACACGGCUAGUAGCAGCUUGCCUGGUGGAGCGAUGCAUGCCCACUAGUAACCGUGCGUUUUACACACACUGAUACACAUCGACACACACACACACACACACACACACACAUAUAAACACGCACGCAUACACACGCGCGCGUACACGCGCACAAACGUUUACUGUUAUGCAGGAAGAAGCGAUCCAGUCAAAAGCUUACAGGUGGAGAUAGAUAGAGAGCAAGAAAGAGAGAGAGAGAGAGAAAGAAAGAAAGAAAGAGAGGAGGGAGAGAGUGAAGGAGAGAAAGAGAGAGAGAAAGCAACAAUAAAACCUGGCGCAGUCGCAGAUACAUUUACCUGGCUGAAGAAUACAAACGCAAGCCUAUACCUUACCUGUUUUCUUUCUCUUCUUUCUUUGUAACACCCCCUCCUCCUCCCUCUAGAAUUGCUAUUUCACCUGAGAAAAGACUUUCAGUUCAAUGGACAGGCAGAAAACCUGUGUAGUUGCAGACAUACCUACCUUAUUCUACAACAGGUCCUUAUUUAAUUUUGUAUUAUUUAAAAACAAAAGUUUUUACCGAUUCUCCCCCACCCAAUGGUCCUUUCCUGUGAUGUUUUACUAACACACCUGUGUUACACCUGUGUUAGAAUGAAAAGAAAUCAAAUUCUGGCACUCCAGCAUAUAAUUCUAUUUAAACAUUUACCUUGAUAUUCUAAUAUCGCAUUCAUUUCUAUCUUAUAUCAAUCUUCCGUGAUUUUGCUAUUACACAAGAGUUACACCUGUGAUACACCUGUGAUAUACCUAUGAGUUAGACCUGGAUAAACUGGAAGGAGAAUCUGGAAAUUAUAUUCGGAAAUGGACUACACUUACAUAAACAACAACAACAUUAUAGGGAAUCAACAACCACAUUAACAACACCAAUAAUAACUUUUCCAGCAAUAAUAUAAACAACAACACUAAAAAAGGGGGGAAACUAAAACCACGCUUAAAGGGAAAAACUAAGCCGUGCACACACACACACACACACAUACACACGCAUUCAUAAAAUAGAACUCUAGCUAUAUAGAUAUUUAAUAUAGGGGGGGAAAUAAUAAAUUGGAGGGGGACGGGGACAAGGAAGCGAGGGAUUAUGGAUUUAUGCUUUGAUUAAAAGAAAGACAACAAAGAAAUAGAAAUACGCUGAUGUCUAGGGCGAUAUUGGUUAAUAUUAGCCUAGAUACACGAGGAUAGAUUAAUGUAGUAUGUGGUGGGUCUGUGAAAGAGGGGUCCAUCACUGAUCCAGAGACACAUCUCACUCUUUCACACACACGCGCGCACACACACUCACAUAUAUUUCUAUGUUUGUGUACUUCGGAUUUACUUCUUUCUUAACUUAGAAGACGUCAGCGUUACUACUACUAAUAAUGAUAAAUAUCUCCUCCAGCAUUAAGCACUGAAUAGUCAACAAGACAGCCUCUGCGAGGUGUCUCGACCUGCAAGAAAUAGCAGCGAAAUCCCCUCAUGUAUAGGAGGACGCAGCGCACCGAAUAUUCCCGAGGCAUAGGUAGCUAUUUCUGAAACAGCUUUGAUCAUAGCUUAUAGGACUUACCUAGGGCUAAAUAACAACACCCACUACGAAGAGUAUUAUCAUUACUAAUAACAACAAACUCCAAAACUGUUGCUAAUACCAACACCAUCGAGAAUUAUUGCUACUACUACUACUACUACUAAUUCAUUUUAAAAUAAACUUUCUUGUCCCUUGUGGCUAAUAAAAGUUAAAACAGUACAAAGGCGAAAUACCUGAAUAACGAGGAGUAGGGUAGAACAACAACAACAACAACAACAACAAUAAUAAUAAUAAUAAUAAUAUAGGAUAGAGGCCAUAACAAUAUAAGACGUUAUUCUUAAUCAUAAUUAAAAUUUCUUUUAAUCAAAUACCGCCAGGUUGACAGGUGAGAUUAUAAUUACGAAACUGGCGAGUUUACGCCGAAAGAAAACAAAUAAUUAGGGGAAUUAUUUUGAAUUUUAAUUAAUGUUUAACUAACAGACCACCUUCAGUAUAAUUAUAUAUUAUACACUCAAACGAACUUAUAUGGUUGCAUAGAAUCAAAAACAUCAUAUAUUAUAUACACACCUGGACACACCUGUACUGUGACGCACCUAUAUACAUAUGCACAUACGUAGAUGUAUACAUAGAUAUACACACAUUCACAAACAAGAAUAUUUUUAUAUACAUAUAAAAUAUACACACAUACAUCGUUUAUACAAACGAUGAUUUGCAGAUAUCAAAGUGAAGCAAUUAUUUUAUUACGUGAGAAGUGAAACGGUUGUUUGGAUUGUAAUUAAAGAAACUCAGUAAAUUCACCGCCGUUGCUAGCCAAACUUGGAGAAGCGAAAGAUGGAUGAGAAGAGAUAAAAAAGAAUGUGAACCUAUUAAACAGAAUGCAAUUUAUGUAUUGCUACAACCACUGGCUUCCGUUGCAAGGGAAAGCAUUCCAAUUUUCUGGUCGAUUCGAAGCAAGCCAGUGUCAAACGACGUCUCGACAUAUUUAUUGAUCUUUAUUAAUCUGUCUAUAACGGAUAUGGAUUCCAAGAGCUUAAGGUGAAUCACAGGUCUGUUGCUACAUUGACGAAAGCAUCAACUUACGAUUCUAUUUCAAUGUCCUCUGUGAUGUGAUUAUUACAUCGACGUAUUGAUUCCGCAGUUAUAUCUAAACUUUGAGAAUAAUUACAACAACGGUUCAAGGUUCGCCAAAAAAUAUGAACCAAUAAACAAGGAAUUUACUAGUAAUAUCAACAUUCUCCUACACAUAUAUAAGAAAUCAACGGAAUCCACCAACUUACGUCAGAUAAAACAUAAAAUGUAAACAAAUAAGACGAAAUCGACGACAACAAUCAGUGAAAUUCUAAAAUUAUUUGUCUUUUGCGAGUAUAUGGUGAUUAAUGAGAUAUAAGAAACACUCACAGCAUUUUUAUGAGAGUUUACCAGAUUUUACGAGAGUUCACCAGUUUGCAUAAAAGCUCACGGGAUUUUACCAAACUUCACGAAAUUUUACAAUAUUUCACGAGAUUUUGCAAGAGUUCACGAGAGUUUCCUCAGUUAAUUAUCUAAUAUCAACACAAUGGGUGAUAUGGUCAGUAGCUGUUUAAAAACUGUCGGUCUUGAACCAGUUGAGGCGAAAUCGGUGCAGUAUAACCGGAAACGGAAGCAAAGUGUUCAAGUAACUGAAUAUAUGAAAACGAAACGCCACAACGAACUCGAGAAAUACUACCGUGAUAAGUAUGCUCCUCGACGGCAGUCGUCGCCUUGUAUCAACCAAUUAACACUUGACAUUCCUGUACCCACAGAGCAGGUACGGAGGUCUUCGAUGAACUUCUAAGAAUAACAAAAAAAGUUAUUUUGUAUGUUCACCUCGGAACAAGUGACACAAAGUUUUGUGAGCAAUGUUAAUUGAUGAACAAGCUCCAGUCACUGUUUUCAUUUGGAAACAAGUGUUAAAUUUUGGUCGAAAAUCUCUCGUCAUUGAGCAUAUAAUUUCACCUCGAGUUAUGACCGUCAAGAAAUAGCAAAAGUAUAUUCAAAUAUGCAUAUGUUCAUAUAAUAACGCAUACGUUUAUAUACAUCCAUACACAUACAAAUAUACAUACAUCUACAUAUGUACAUUAUAUAUAUAUAUAUAUAUGAUAUAUAUAUAUAAAUUGUCAAAUAUGUGUAUUUAAUACUGAUGCACAAUACAAUCUUUCAAAGUAACACCCAAAAGAAUCAACAUUUACUAUUAUCAUACACACCAUAUAUAUAUAUGUAUAUACAAAAGCAUAUCUCUUAAUGUAGAUUAUAUACAUGUAUGUGAGUGCAUAUAUCAAAUAGCAUUUUACAUUGUCAUACGAAAGGCUUCCUAUCUGUUUGUAAUCCCAGUUCUUUCAAUCGGUGAGGAAUCAAAAUUAAUAAAUAUUAAGAAAUUGGAAGAAUCUGAAAAUUUUCAGAAAGUAACAAUCUUUCUAAAAUCCUUUUAUUGAAUAUAUUGAAAAAGUUGAAAAUGAUUGUUAUUGGCCUUCAGAUUUCAUUGUUAUUUCGGUAUUAAUAUUGCUGUUAUAUUUUAUUGUUUUCGUUAUAUUGUUUUUGUGAUAGUUAAGCAAUUAUUCUUUCAAAAAAAAAAAAAAAGAAACACUUAUGGAGGGGAAAAUAAAACGAAA